This 238-nucleotide long non-coding RNA is filed under the name Mus spicilegus (steppe mouse). RNAcentral's name for it is "lncRNA (ENSMSIG00000005882.1)". Lineage: Eukaryota; Metazoa; Chordata; Mammalia; Rodentia; Muridae. The record is from RNAcentral.
CACGAGAGCCACCGGGCUCUGGGCUGCGGAGGAGGUUGGAGGUGACCUUCCAGAAGGAACGUGGGACAAGGGGACCCUGGAAGUCUUGUUUGAAAUUUGAACAGUCUCACAGGCAGAUCAGGAGCAAGUGAGGACCUGGUGGGUAGUGGUUACUCUGUGAGAAGCCAGCAGCACCAACCAAAUAGAAGGUGGAGAGUGGCCCCCAGCUUCCCAGUUUGGGUUUGGGCCAAGACAACUA